This 60-nucleotide transfer RNA is filed under the name Cucullaea labiata. RNAcentral describes it as "tRNA-Ser". The record is from RNAcentral. Lineage: Eukaryota; Metazoa; Mollusca; Bivalvia; Arcoida; Cucullaeidae.
UAAAAAAUAAUAGUAUUAUUUGAUUUUUGAAUACUUAAAGCUCUGGACUUAGUUUUUUAU